Ruditapes philippinarum (Manila clam) is the source of this 1549-nucleotide long non-coding RNA. RefSeq lists it as uncharacterized. The record is from RefSeq and is a predicted model, not a curated record. Lineage: Eukaryota; Metazoa; Mollusca; Bivalvia; Venerida; Veneridae. The transcript has 4 exons.
GUACCAAAAGGAAAGGUUUGCCGUAAACUCGCCGCAACUUUGCCGCAAAUUCGCUGCAAACCUUUUAGUUCGCCGAAACACUGUGUCAAGAGUUUGCCAGAUAUCGCCACUAGUGGCAACUCUGUAGCAAACAUUUGGCGACUUUGCGGCAAAUUCACCAGAAUAUUUAGUAGUUCGCCAAAAGUUUGCCAGAAACUUUCAGUGGAAAACUAAUUUGCCAGAGAUUGCCAGAAUCUUUCUAUGAAAAAAAAUAUUCACUGAAAGUUCACCAGAAACUUUUCUAUAAAAACAAGUUUGCCAGAUAAUCGCCACAAACACAUCAGUUCUGAAAGUUAAUCAUCUUUGUUCAGUAAAUAACUAUUUUGCCAAGGAAUUAUAUUAUUAUGCACAUAUAAAAAAAGUCCUUCAUGUACCUACCUAUAUAUUACCUACCUACCUACCUACCUACCCAACCCUAUUUUAAUGGGUCGGGAAGUGGAAACAAACAUAUUUUUAUAUUUUUUGCCUAAGAGUUAUCAAAUUGAAACAUCAUAUGUAUCAUGGAGGGUAUUGUAGUUCACAAUAACAGUUUAAAAAAUUAUAAGGUAGAAGACCCAUAAUGAAAUCGGCAAUCUUCGACAAUUACCGCCAUAUCUCGCGAUUUAUCGUAACGAACUUCGUUUGUUUACGUAUAAAGUCGGAAUUCUAAUAAUAGCGGAUAUCCCCGGUCACGUGGUAGUAUUCCCCAAGAAAAUGACGUAAUUUCCAUAGAUAUCUAACAUGGCGUCUUACAGGCGUGAUACGCUCGGUCGAUUCAAAAAAGUGUAAAAAGAUGCAGAAAACCCAAGUAUUGCGACUUAAUUAUAGAACAUAACUAUCGUGCAGGUAACCAGUAUUACGGGUCAACCAAACCAGCUCUACAAAACAUCAACUCUUCCUAAAUCGGUUGAUAAUGAGGGUUGGAAAAAGGGAAGAAGAAUCGUUGAGACUUGAGUUUGGCGUGUUACGGUCAACCCUAAGAUUUUGUAAAAAAUGUAGACUUGGACUAGUAGGCUACCAUUAACUUUUGACAACAUGUUAGGUGAAUUUAAACAGGGUGUGUCUGGAUAUUUGUAUGUGAAAUGUCGAAACACAGAAAUUAUGCGGUCAUGUGAAUUGUGUUCCCUAUGGAAAAACACAGACUCUUGUAGUAGUAGAUUGAAGACCUGGGAAAGUUGGAAUGCCAUGUUUCGUUGUCAACACAAAAUUAGGACCAGCAAUGAUUGAUAGUGUAGGUGGGCCGGUGAGGGGAGGGUCAACAAUUUGUUGUCAACACUCAAUAUACCAACAAUUGGAAAUAAAAACAUGAAAAGAAAUGGAGAGACGUGUUGGAAAUAUCAUUGAGACAGUGGCUUCUAUCUGUCUAUGUUGACAGAAUCUGCUGCGAAAGAUCAAGGAAAUUGAGGAUGUGCAUCAUGAAGAAUCAAUGGUAUCAGAACACAACAUCAUGGAAGAUCUUAUUGACAAGAUCUUGGAGGAUGUCCUUUGCCAGAUGCCUCGCCAGCACUAAAGUCUAUUCUUCAGUCAGAUU